CCGUAGGUGAACCUGCGGAAGGAUCAUUAAAGAAAUUUAAUAAUUUUGAAAAUGGAUUUUUUUUGUUUUGGCAAGAGCAUGAGAGCUUUUACUGGGCAAGAAGACAAGAGAUGGAGAGUCCAGCCGGGCCUGCGCUUAAGUGCGCGGUCUUGCUAGGCUUGUAAGUUUCUUUCUUGCUAUUCCAAACGGUGAGAGAUUUCUGUGCUUUUGUUAUAGGACAAUUAAAACCGUUUCAAUACAACACACUGUGGAGUUUUCAUUAUCUUUGCAACUUUUUCUUUGGGCAUUCGAGCAAUCGGGGCCCAGAGGUAACAAACACAAACAAUUUUAUUUAUUCAUUAAAUUUUUGUCAAAAACAAGAAUUUUCGUAACUGGAAAUUUUAAAAUAUUAAAAACUUUCAACAACGGAUCUCUUGGUUCUCGCAUCGAUGAAGAACGCAGCGAAAUGCGAUACGUAAUGUGAAUUGCAGAAUUCCGUGAAUCAUCGAAUCUUUGAACGCACAUUGCGCCCCUUGGUAUUCCAGGGGGCAUGCCUGUUUGAGCGUCAUUUCCUUCUCAAACAUUCUGUUUGGUAGUGAGUGAUACUCUUUGGAGUUAACUUGAAAUUGCUGGCCUUUUCAUUGGAUGUUUUUUUUUCCAAAGAGAGGUUUCUCUGCGUGCUUGAGGUAUAAUGCAAGUACGGUCGUUUUAGGUUUUACCAACUGCGGCUAAUCUUUUUUAUACUGAGCGUAUUGGAACGUUAUCGAUAAGAAGAGAGCGUCUAGGCGAACAAUGUUCUUAAAGUUUGACCUCAAAUCAGGUAGGAGUACCCGCUGAACUUAAGCAUAUCAAUAAGCGGAGG
This 841-nucleotide ribosomal RNA is filed under the name Saccharomyces cerevisiae (brewer's yeast). Its description in RNAcentral is "eukaryotic LSU rRNA". The stretch from base 394 to 547 matches the Rfam family "5.8S ribosomal RNA". The record is from RNAcentral. Lineage: Eukaryota; Fungi; Ascomycota; Saccharomycetes; Saccharomycetales; Saccharomycetaceae.